Molecule: ribosomal RNA, 406 nt
Filed under: uncultured bacterium
Lineage: Bacteria
Description: partial 16S ribosomal RNA
Rfam family: Bacterial small subunit ribosomal RNA
Source: RNAcentral
AUUGAACGCUGGCGACAGGCCUAACACAUGCAAGUCGAACGAGUGGCGGACGGGUGAGUAAUGACUGGGAAACUGCCUGAUGGAGGGGGAUAACUACUGGAAACGGUAGCUAAUACAGCAUACCAUCGGAUGUGCCAAGAUGGGAUUAGCUAGUAGGUGGGGUAAAGGCUCACCUAGGCGACGAUCCCUAGCUGGUCGGAGAGGAUGACUAGCCCCACUGGGACUGCGACACGGUCCAGACGCCUCCGGGAGGCAGCAGUGGAGAAUAUUGCACAAUGGGCGCAAGGCUGAUGCAGCCAUGCCGCGUGUAUGAAGAAGGCCUUCGGGUUGUAAAGUACUUUCAGCGGGGAGGCGUUACUCGCAGAAGCAGCACCGGCUAACUCCGUGCCAGCAGCCGCGGUAAUUC